UACGUAGGGGGCAAGCGUUGUCCGGAAUCAUUGGGCGUAAAGAGCGCGUAGGCGGCCCUGUAAGUCCGCUGUGAAAGUCAAGGGCUCAACCCUUGAAUGCCGGUGGAUACUGCAGGGCUAGAGUCCGGAAGAGGCGAGUGGAAUUCCUGGUGUAGCGGUGAAAUGCGCAGAUAUCAGGAGGAACACCGAUGGCGAAGGCAGCUCGCUGGGACGGUACUGACGCUGAGGCGCGAAAGCUAGGGGAGCAAGCGGG
Molecule: ribosomal RNA, 253 nt
Filed under: uncultured bacterium
Lineage: Bacteria
Description: partial 16S ribosomal RNA
Rfam family: Bacterial small subunit ribosomal RNA
Source: RNAcentral